Molecule: ribosomal RNA, 477 nt
Filed under: Neisseria bacilliformis
Lineage: Bacteria; Pseudomonadati; Pseudomonadota; Betaproteobacteria; Neisseriales; Neisseriaceae
Description: bacterial SSU rRNA
Rfam family: Bacterial small subunit ribosomal RNA
Source: RNAcentral
AUUGAACGCUGGCGGCAUGCUUUACACAUGCAAGUCGGACGGCAGCACAGAGGAGCUUGCUUCUUGGGUGGCGAGUGGCGAACGGGUGAGUAACGCAUCGGAACGUACCGAGUAAUGGGGGAUAACUGUCCGAAAGGACAGCUAAUACCGCAUACGCCCUGAGGGGGAAAGCGGGGGAUCUUAGGACCUCGCGUUAUUCGAGCGGCCGAUGUCUGAUUAGCUGGUUGGCGGGGUAAAGGCCCACCAAGGCGACGAUCAGUAGCGGGUCUGAGAGGAUGAUCCGCCACACUGGGACUGAGACACGGCCCAGACUCCUACGGGAGGCAGCAGUGGGGAAUUUUGGACAAUGGGCGCAAGCCUGAUCCAGCCAUGCCGCGUGUCUGAAGAAGGCCUUCGGGUUGUAAAGGACUUUUGUCAGGGAAGAAAAGGGGCAUGUUAAUACCGUGCUCUGAUGACUGUACCUGAAGAAUAAGCACC